UCUUAUGGUAUCAAUCCCCUGCCUUCCUUCCAUGGCAUGAACUGAUCGUGUAAUUUCCUGUUGCACAUCUCCUAUUUCUUCCCCUUCCUCAGGAACAUACAAGUCCUGCUCCAGCUCUUCAUAUUCUGCCUUAUCAGCAUGCAUACUCAUCACAAAUUUCUGCUUGCACUGAUGGCCUAGAAAAUAUCUUUCGCCACAUUUGAAACAAGGCUUUGGAGUUCUGUUAAGUUGGUUUGCUACAUAGGCUUAGACUGAGAUGGGUUUUGAUUAACAGAUGAGUUUUGGCUACUGGUGGUGGUUGUAGGAGUUUUACUGGCUAUAGUGACUGGUUUAGUACUUUGGGUUGAGUUAUUUGGGGGUUUGGUCACACAAGUGAAAUCUUGAUGGAAUGGUGCUGUUUUAUACGUUAUGGAAGGGCUAUAGGUUGAAGUGACAGAUUUGAAUUGACUUGAAUGAUUUUUGAGGUGGUAAUUGGACUUCCCAGUAUUCAAGAUGAGUAGUUCUUGAAGUUUGGCUGCUUUAAAUGCAUGAAUAAGGUUGGUGGGCCUCAACAUUCUUACCAUAGGUCUAAUCUCAUCCCUCAAUCCACCAAUAAAUCAUGGUAGGAAAUAGGAUUCCCCCAAAUCAGGUAAAGAUCCUCAAAUUUAUCUUGGUAUUCAUCUACACUCCCCUCUUGCCUUAGUUUCAUGAAUUCCUCUACGUUAUCUCCAAUAUUUGAUCCCCAAAUCUCCUACACAGUGCCUCCUCAAAAACCUCCCAAGAACUAUCCUUCUUACUCCUAACCUAGUUAUUAAACCAAGAAUCUGCCUUCCCAGACAUAUAAAGACUUGCAAUUCCCACCAUUUUUUUCCCUAGGCACCCCAUACACUUCAAAAUAUUUGAGACAUUUCCUAAUCCAUACCCUUAGAUCAACACCAUCAAAAGUACUAAGUUCAAUUUUAGGUAAAAUCUUGUCAAGAUUACCUGAAUGCCCAAAAGAUUCUGAGCUGGCUUGGUCCUUUCCCAAAUUAGGCAGAUUUGUCUUUUGAGGAUUUGGGAAAAUCCCCUUACUAACUACCACAGUGUUUUCUUGAGAACCAGAACAACUUUCCUUUCCAAGAUCCUUCCUCAAGCCCCAAAUUAGAGUUUUCAAAUCUUCCACAUAAUUAACUGAAGCUUUCACCACCUCCAUCUUAGAUCUGAGCCCAAUUUUUCAAUACUUCUAUCUCUUUCCUUGUAUCCCGAGAAUCCAGCUGAACAGAUCUCAACUGCUCCUCUAAUUCCACUAGCCUCACACUUUCUUGACUCACAACAGCAGAUCUUGUUAUCCUUGCGAUCCCAAAGAAACACUCCCAAAUCAAGGUUCUGAUACCAAAUUUUAGGAUAGCAACCCUAACAAAGAUUGAUAAGAAGAAUAGAAAAAAGAAGAGAAGAAAGAGAGAAUUAGGAAGAGAGAAUUUAGGAGAGGAGAUUGUAUAUCAUUGAUUCAGAUUCUUGAAUGAAUAAUACAGGAGCUAUCUCAUCUCUUGUAUACUGCAGUUCCUGCCAAUAGGUAACUGCGUCUAGAAACAAACCUCUAACAAACUCUAACUGAGUUUCCCUCCAUUCACUAACUAUUUGAUUUGACUUUUCUCACUACUGUUUACACAUUAUCCCCUGCCCUCUUCUUAUACUUUCUCCUAUAAUGCGUAACAACUUUCAACUUCCAACAAGUAGAUGG
Molecule: unclassified non-coding RNA, 1699 nt
Filed under: Hevea brasiliensis (rubber tree)
Lineage: Eukaryota; Viridiplantae; Streptophyta; Magnoliopsida; Malpighiales; Euphorbiaceae
Source: RNAcentral